GGCAGACGGGUGAGUAACAUGUGGGUAUCUGCCCUUUGGCCUGGAAUAACACGAGGAAACUUGUGCUAAUACCGGAUAAGUCUUUACGGAGAAAGCUUUAUGCACCAUUGGAUGAGCCCGCACUUGAUUAGUUUGUUGGUAGGGUAAUGGCCUACCAAGACUGUGAUCAAUAGCUGAUUUGAGAGGAUGAUCAGCCACAUUGGGACUGAGACACGGCCCAAACUCCUACGGGAGGCAGCAGUGGGGAAUCUUGCACAAUGGAGGAAACUCUGAUGCAGCGAUGCCGCGUGAGUGAAGAAGGCCCUUGGGUUGUAAAGCUCUUUCGUCGGGGAAGAAAAUGACUGUACCCGAAUAAGAAGGUCCGGCUAACUUCGUGCCAGCAGCCGCGGUAAUACGAAGGGACCUAGCGUAGUUCGGAAUUACUGGGCUUAAAGAGUUCGUAGGUGGUUGAAAAAGUUGGUGGUGAAAUCCCAGAGCUUAACUCUGGAACUGCCAUCAAAACUUUUCAGCUAGAGUUUGAUAGAGGAAAGCAGAACUUCUAGUGUAGAGGUGAAAUUCGUAGAUAUUAGAAAGAAUACCAAUUGCGAAGGCAGCUUUCUGGAUCAUUACUGACACUGAGGAACGAAAGCAUGGGUAGCGAAGAGGAUUAGAUACCCUCGUAGUCCAUGCCGUAAACGAUGUGUGUUAGACGUUGGAAAUUUAUUUUCAGUGUCGCAGCGAAAGCGAUAAACCCAC
This 735-nucleotide ribosomal RNA is filed under the name uncultured marine bacterium. RNAcentral describes it as "bacterial SSU rRNA". It matches the Rfam family "Bacterial small subunit ribosomal RNA", at positions 97 to 869 of the family's 1533-position model. The record is from RNAcentral.